This 74-nucleotide transfer RNA is filed under the name Planctomycetaceae bacterium. RNAcentral's name for it is "tRNA-Pro". The record is from RNAcentral. Lineage: Bacteria; Pseudomonadati; Planctomycetota; Planctomycetia; Planctomycetales; Planctomycetaceae.
AGGGGUGUGCGAAGUCUGGGGAUCGCGCCUGGUUCGGAGCCGGGAGACCGCAGAUUCAAACCCAGUCACUCCGA